CAACCAUCAAGCACUGGCUUGUCGUUGGACUCAAGGUCGUUUAAAAAAAGACCGGUCCGAAAGAUAAUGGACGGGACCUGUCGGCCCUAGAUGCAACGAGCUUUUUUACAGCACGCAUCGAACGUGUCGGUAGUCCCCGCCUUUAAACCCCAUUUUCUCAGGUUGACCUCGGAUCAGGUAGGAAUACCCGCUGAACUUAA
RNAcentral lists this unclassified non-coding RNA (200 nucleotides) under soil metagenome. RNAcentral describes it as "partial contains internal transcribed spacer 2 and large subunit ribosomal RNA". The record is from RNAcentral.